Molecule: long non-coding RNA, 915 nt
Organism: Beta vulgaris subsp. vulgaris (sugar beet)
Lineage: Eukaryota; Viridiplantae; Streptophyta; Magnoliopsida; Caryophyllales; Amaranthaceae
Exons: 2
Source: RefSeq, a predicted model, not a curated record
GCCACGCUUCAUUUUCUUCCUCACUUCUCCUUCUAAAGUUGUCUCAAUUCAUAAGAUGAUUUGGUCGUCUGAUUUCUCUACUCAAGCUCGUGUUCAAUCAUUUCAAGUUCACUCCAAAGCUUUAGCCUCUAACAAUAUGGCGGCGCUGCAGCUUCUCCUAAUUCUAUGAAAUUCGCUUGGUUUGGCGGUUCAAAAGAAAGAAUUCAUCACAUUUUAUCUCGUGGUAAUAGCUUCAACGACAUCCGAGAUAACAUUAAUGCCGCCAUUUUUCUCUCUCCUGAUCAUUCACCUGUUUGGAGAAGGCGAUCCAGACGAAGAUGGAGUUCGAUAUUUGCUACUUUGCCGAGUCGUACUCGGACGAUCCGAGUUAGUUCAACCUAACUCAGCUCAAACAUAACCGAGUUCGAACAAGUUUGACUCAGGAGUUGAUAAUUUUGAAAAUCCAAAAAAGUAUAGAAUCUGGAGUUCCAAUAUGAACUCUCACAUUUUGCCAGAAUAUGUUGUUAGGUUGUGGAGGAGGUGUGGUGGUGUCGGAAGAAAAGAGGCGACGAUCGUGGAUGUAGAAUUGAAGGGGAUGUGUGAUCUGGAGACUGGAAUUGAUUUUGUAAUUGUUUCAAGAGAUUGAAUUGAUUGAGCUGAGGAGAGAGAAAAGGAUGAUAAUCUGUUUCUUGCUCACUUCAUUUUCACCCGCCAUUUUUACAACUCCUUGCUUUGUCUCUCUUCUUCUUUCAGGUGUUUGUGAAAGUGGGUAAUGUGUAAUUGUAAUGUAGAAGAUUGGGGUUUUUAUAGGAGAGAGAUUAAAGUGUGAAAAUAUGUAGAAAUGGUUGAAGGUGUAGAUGAGAGAAAAAGAUGUGUUUGAGAGUGUGAGUGUUAAUUAGGUGUAACACUCUAAAUUGUGGCCAUUUCAUUCAUCAA